This 502-nucleotide long non-coding RNA is filed under the name Astyanax mexicanus (Mexican tetra). RNAcentral describes it as "lncRNA (ENSAMXG00005011024.1)". The record is from RNAcentral. Lineage: Eukaryota; Metazoa; Chordata; Actinopteri; Characiformes; Acestrorhamphidae.
AAAAUAGUUGUUUGUGGACCAAUAAAAAGCACAGAAUGUAGAAGAGGACAGCCUGAGCUUUGUAUUCACGUACAACUUUACGUAAAAAACAUUACAUUGUGUGGUCGCUAGGAGCUUGAGAGUAUUAGGUUCCGGUUGCGCUGAAAAUAAACGCAUGUUUGUGAGGAGAAGUGAGCAGGGGAAUAAAGCACUUUUUGGAUAUUUUAUCUGCGGUUCAGUGCUGUAUUGUGGAUGCUGUGAUGCAGAAAAAGAAACCCACGCAGACAUGGACAUGGGGAGCACACAGAAACUUCACCAAAAAUGAAAGUGCAAUUAUGGAUACAGGAAUACACAUGCAUCCGAUUUGUUUUCAGCCCAGGCAGAAAAGGCAGUCAGUCUGUAUUUCUGUCUUCAGCAUAUGGACACAUGGAGGCCUAAUUUCUGCAUCACAUUAACAUGGUAUGUUUGACUGAAGCUUAAGAGCUUAGACUACGUUCACACAUAUUCAGAUUCUGUGUGUUUU